Molecule: long non-coding RNA, 991 nt
Organism: Oncorhynchus nerka (sockeye salmon)
Lineage: Eukaryota; Metazoa; Chordata; Actinopteri; Salmoniformes; Salmonidae
Exons: 4
Source: RefSeq, a predicted model, not a curated record
CGCCUCUCUGGCAGACAUGUUGCCUGUGUUGGUCUAUGGGGAGCGGAGCACAACCCUAAGGGGCGUGCAGAGCUGUCGUCUGUGUGGGUCUGGGCUGCAGUUAGGAGGGGCUACGCUGAACUCCAGGGGCAGCGCCAUGGACGCCGUGGUGGAGGGGUCACUCUGUUGGAGAAUGACCACCACUACAACUCAGAUGGGCGCGGUAGGGGCGGUGGAUGCGGAAGGGAACAUAGCCUGUGCCAUCUUCACUGGCAUGCUGAACAAGAUGGAGGGCAGGCUGGGGGACACAGCCUGUAUCGAAGGGUGUGUGUGUGUGUGUGUGUGUGUGCCAGGAUGUGGGGGUUAUGCUGAUAACAAGGUGGGAGCAGUGUCCCCCACAGGAUAUGGAGAAGCCAUCAUGAAGGUCACACAUCCAAACUCAUGGCUAAACUCAUCCUGUUCCACAUGGUAACUAGGAAACAGUGAGGAGGCAGCAGCAGAUGAGGCCCCAGCCUAUAUGAAGGAGAGUGGUUGGUCUGGGUGAAGUGGUGCUGGACCCCCAUGGUUGAUGCUCCGCUCGCUCCAACAGCCUGCAGAUGGCCUGUACACUUCACAAAGAAUAUAGACGACCCCCACUAAAACACACACAGACACACACAAAACACUAUGGCUUGUAGUGGAGAAUAAUACAUCAUUAUACAAUAAAACAAAAUAACAGAGUAUAGAUGACUGACACUAACACACACACAUGGAAAGAGAGAGAGAGAGCGAGGGAGGAAGGCAUGGAAAGAGCAUAGACGAGUCUAGAAGACACAAAAACAACUGAUAGACUGCACUGAAUUGAAAUUUUUCCGUCCCAUAGACUCUUACCAUAACUGUGUCUUUAGCAAUCUGUAUAAUUGAAAUGUUUUCUAAUCCUCAAAUCAAUGCUCAUAUUUAGAGCCAGUAUUUGGAAAGUGUUGAUCAAAUGUAAACAUAGGAAUUCAGGAAUAAAGCUUGUUUUUAAAACAAA